RNAcentral lists this ribosomal RNA (260 nucleotides) under uncultured bacterium. RNAcentral's name for it is "partial 16S ribosomal RNA". It matches the Rfam family "Bacterial small subunit ribosomal RNA", at positions 94 to 354 of the family's 1533-position model. The record is from RNAcentral.
AGUGGCGGACGGGUGAGUAACGCGUGGGUAACCUGCCCUGUACAGGGGGAUAACAGUUAGAAAUGACUGCUAACACCGCAUAAGCGCACGGUAAGGCAUCUUAGUGUGUGAAAAUAUUAAUAGGUACAGGAUGGGCCCGCGUCUGAUUAGCCAGUUGGCGGGGUAACGGCCUACCAAAGCGACGAUCAGUAGCCGGCUUGAGAGAGUGAACGGCCACAUUGGGACUGAGACACGGCCCAAACUCCUACGGAAGGCAGCAG